RNAcentral lists this transfer RNA (72 nucleotides) under Daphnia pulex (common water flea). It matches the Rfam family "tRNA". Rfam says of the family: Transfer RNA (tRNA) molecules are approximately 80 nucleotides in length. Their secondary structure includes four short double-helical elements and three loops (D, anti-codon, and T loops). Further hydrogen bonds mediate the characteristic L-shaped molecular structure. tRNAs have two regions of fundamental functional importance: the anti-codon, which is responsible for specific mRNA codon recognition, and the 3' end, to which the tRNAs corresponding amino acid is attached (by aminoacyl-tRNA synthetases). tRNAs cope with the degeneracy of the genetic code in two manners: having more than one tRNA (with a specific anti-codon) for a particular amino acid; and 'wobble' base-pairing, i.e. permitting non-standard base-pairing at the 3rd anti-codon position. Lineage: Eukaryota; Metazoa; Arthropoda; Branchiopoda; Diplostraca; Daphniidae. The record is from Rfam by way of RNAcentral.
UCCCAUAUUGUCUAGUGGUUAGGAUACCUGGCUCUCACCCAUGAGACCCGGGUUCAAUUCCCGGUAUGGGAA